RNAcentral lists this ribosomal RNA (484 nucleotides) under uncultured bacterium. RNAcentral's name for it is "partial 16S ribosomal RNA". It matches the Rfam family "Bacterial small subunit ribosomal RNA", at positions 30 to 507 of the family's 1533-position model. The record is from RNAcentral.
AUUGAACGCUGGCGGCAGGCCUAACACAUGCAAGUCGAGCGGAUGAAGGGAGCUUGCUCCUGGAUUCAGCGGCGGACGGGUGAGUAAUGCCUAGGAAUCUGCCUGGUAGUGGGGGAUAACGUCCGGAAACGGGCGCUAAUACCGCAUACGUCCUGAGGGAGAAAGUGGGGGAUCUUCGGACCUCACGCUAUCAGAUGAGCCUAGGUCGGAUUAGCUAGUUGGUGGGGUAAAGGCCUACCAAGGCGACGAUCCGUAACUGGUCUGAGAGGAUGAUCAGUCACACUGGAACUGAGACACGGUCCAGACUCCUACGGGAGGCACCAGUGGGGAAUAUUGGACAAUGGGCGAAAGCCUGAUCCAGCCAUGCCGCGUAUGUGAAGAAGGUCUUCGGAUUGUAAAGCACUUUAAGUUGGGAGGAAGGGCAGUAAGUUAAUACCUUGCUGUUUUGACGUUACCAACAGAAUAAGCACCGGCUAACUUCGUG